CCCCGGGCUGCUGCGUGGGCUUCUCAUUUCAUGUUGGAAAUUACACAGUAGGCUCAAGACAGAGCCUGUGAUCCCAUUUCUGAUCCUAAGAGCUCAUGCCCUGUCCUCAGGAAUGCUCCCCACGGGUUGAGGAUUAAAGAGCAGUGAUCACAUGAGCUAAUGGAUUUUAUGGCUUUCGGUUGGGGGUUGUCAUUAAAUGACGCUGCGGCUUCCGUGCACUCCACGACUGCCUGGCACAGAGCAGGGGGAAAGGUGAAUAAACACCACAGUACAUUAGCAAGUGCUGCUACUGAGAGACCUCCAGCCACGUGUCCCUGCCAUGGAAGGACAAGGGUGUUUUGGUCCCAAGAGAGCUGCCUCAUUCAUGAAGAGAGGAGGGUGUCCAAGGCAGGGAUCAUUUGCUGGAACUGCUCCAAUCCUACUGCCCUUAAAUUUAUAAAACUCCCACUUGAGUCAAUGGGAGCUGUGCAUGCUGAAGAGCUACUGGGUGGAGGCUGUAAAUGUCUGACGCUGAUUGUGUGACACAUGGGCGCUCUUACGGCUGAUUGAAGGAACGACGCAUCAGCAGCAGAUGAGACCCCUGCACAAAUAGGAUAACAACACCAUGUCAAUAUUUUCCUAAUGUGUGAAUAAGUGCUGUGAGGGACAGGGCAUACAACAUUCCAGAAA
Molecule: long non-coding RNA, 669 nt
Filed under: Cyanistes caeruleus (blue tit)
Lineage: Eukaryota; Metazoa; Chordata; Aves; Passeriformes; Paridae
Description: lncRNA (ENSCCEG00000022850.1)
Source: RNAcentral